This 505-nucleotide ribosomal RNA is filed under the name uncultured bacterium. RNAcentral's name for it is "partial 16S ribosomal RNA". It matches the Rfam family "Bacterial small subunit ribosomal RNA", at positions 28 to 507 of the family's 1533-position model. The record is from RNAcentral.
GACGAACGCUGGCGGCGUGCCUAAUACAUGCAAGUAGAACGCACAGUUUAUACCGUAGCUUGCUACACCAUAGACUGUGAGUUGCGAACGGGUGAGUAACGCGUAGGUAACCUGCCUGGUAGCGGGGGAUAACUAUUGGAAACGAUAGCUAAUACCGCAUAAUAUUGAUUAUUGCAUGAUAAUUGAUUGAAAGAUGCUAUUGCAUCACUACCAGAUGGACCUGCGUUGUAUUAGCUAGUAGGUGAGGUAACGGCUCACCUAGGCGACGAUACAUAGCCGACCUGAGAGGGUGAUCGGCCACACUGGGACUGAGACACGGCCCAGACUCCUACGGGAGGCAGCAGUAGGGAAUCGUCGGCAAUGGACGAAAGUCUGACCGAGCAACGCCGCGUGAGUGAAGAAGGUUGUCGGAUCGUAAAGCUCUGUUGUAAGAGAAGAACGGGUGUGAGAGUGGAAAGUUCACACUGUGACGGUAUCUUACCAGAAAGGGACGGCUAACUACGUG